Molecule: ribosomal RNA, 253 nt
Filed under: uncultured bacterium
Lineage: Bacteria
Description: partial 16S ribosomal RNA
Rfam family: Bacterial small subunit ribosomal RNA
Source: RNAcentral
UACGUAGGGUGCGAGCGUUAAUCGGAAUUACUGGGCGUAAAGCGUGCGCAGGCGGUUUUGUAAGUCUGUCGUGAAAUCCCCGGGCUCAACCUGGGAAUGGCGAUGGAGACUGCAAGGCUGGAAUCUGGCAGAGGGGGGUAGAAUUCCACGUGUAGCAGUGAAAUGCGUAGAGAUGUGGAGGAACACCGAUGGCGAAGGCAGCCCCCUGGGCUAAGAUUGACGCUCAUGCACGAAAGCGUGGGGAGCAAACAGG